Molecule: long non-coding RNA, 5847 nt
Filed under: Homo sapiens (human)
Lineage: Eukaryota; Metazoa; Chordata; Mammalia; Primates; Hominidae
Description: non-protein coding lnc-SLC29A4-5:1
Source: RNAcentral
UUUCGCAUUGCCCGUUCUGUUUUUUUUAAAUCAAUUUUUAAGGCAACUUUUUGGGAGGGGGGAAAAAUGAGCGAGUUAGUGCCCAUUCGUUCUAUUUUCUUUUCUCCACUUUUAGAAAAAAGUGGGGGGAGGCUUCGAGAACGAACGGGGGGGUGUCUAAUUUAAUUCCAGGAUAAAUUUGAGGAAAAAAGUUCAGCCUCUUGAGGGCAGUUUCAAGUUGCCCUUCCUGGAGCUUCCUGCGUUAGUUUCUAGGCUGCCCUCUUUUGGAAGCUGUAGCUCCGCUGGGGAGGAGGGAGGAGUGAGAAGGAAAGAAAGGAACAAAAAUAGCCGGAGCCGAGGGGAACAAGCCACGGUGUCCGCGUUUGGAGCUGGGCGUGCGGGUCUCAGUGGCGGCCUCGGCAUUCGGGGCGGCGGGAGGCGCCCGGUGCAUCCCCGGGACGGCCAGGAGCAAAGACGGAGAGGAGAGGGGGGUUAGAGAAAGGAGGUAUUGUGUCUGUGUGCCUUAGGGGAGGAGGGGACUGCAGGAAUCGAAUAAACGCAGUCGAGCUGCGCGGGGCUGCUGGAAGCCCAGGCGGGGGAAGGGGGCCGUGUGUGGGGGCGCAGAGCGCCCUUGAGCCUUACGCAGAGGUCUUGUGUGUUCCUAGUUAAGCCCUCCCACGCCCGAGGCCCCAUCGCUUCCUCUCCACCCUCUUUACCCACCAAUAUUCCAAGCCCAGAUCCUAAUUCCCCACCGCAUUACCCCGCCCUGGAUUUGGGGAAUGUUUUUCUUUAUUUUAAUAUAGCUCAAGGAAAAAAUACGUAUAUCUUGAGAGAUUUGGGGUGGGGAAAACAAAAGCCUUGCGGAGUAGAAAAAACAAAGGCUUAUUUUUAUAAAUGUUUAAUGUUUUCACCCCCUGGAUGCUCCGAGACGCCGUAAUUGUGACGGCGGGGUACGUGUGCCAUAAAUCAUUUAGUUGCUAAUAAAAAUUCUGCCUGUUUGCCCUGGAUUUGCCAAUGGCGUUUGCAUUUUUCAAGUGUGCGCCUCGGCGGUGUGACGAACCCAGCCGGUAUUUCAUUAGGGCCGCGGUUCGGGGCAGAGGAGGUCCCCUCCCCGCCUGGGCUUUGUGCGCCCAGCCCCCUUGCACCGGCCCUUCCAUACCUGCCCCCGGCACCCACUCCAUAUUUGCGCGGCCCUGCAGCCACCGGAGUCCGGCCGGGGAGCAGGGCCUGGGGACGCGGUGGUGGUGGUGGCUCCCAGUUCCUGGCCACCAGGCGGGGCGGCCAGGACGCAUCCUGCCCACGCGGUUUUCCAGGGCUGCCGCGUGCUUGGGGGCGCGGGCGGGCCACGCGGAGAGGCCACCUGCCCGGGCCAAUCUGUACGCUCCGUGAUCUUCGCCCGCUCCCCGGCCCCGCGCCCUGGUGUCCCUGCAGUCGCUGAGUAAACAGCGACUGGGAGCCAUCUUGGGGCGGAGGACCGAUCCCAAGCGAAGUAGUAGUGGCUGCAGCCCGGGUGCCCCCAUUCGUAAAGGGGAGCCUCUAGGACAUCCCUAACUAGGCUUCAGGGUCCAGGGAAACGCCCUCCCCAGUAUGGCGGGCCACAUUGAAAUGUAAAAACCAGGCCUGGGCGCUGUGGCCAUAGGGCACAGGCCAUAGGCCACCAGGUCCAGCCGCCAUCUUCCGCGCCCCACCCCCAUUCCAUCCCCUCCCCCUCCCCACCCCCUCAUACUUUUGUUUACCCAGCGGGAUAGGUGGCCAAAAACUGUGGACGCAAUUGAGUGAAAGUGCGUGUGUGUGUGUGUGUGUGUGUGUGUGCGCGCGCGCGCGCGCGUGUCUGUGUGUGUGUGUGUUUGACUGGGUAGAAAAUCGGCUGGGGGCUGGGGGGGUCUUCCUUGUAGCCCUAAGCCGCAGCUGCGGGAGAAGCUGCCCUGGCUAGCCGAGGCCCGGCCCAGCGUGCUUCUCCGCGGCCAGCCUGGGCCACCGGAGCCGAGGCCUUCCCUGUGUUCCUAGGCCGCUGGCUCCGGCCUCCGCUCCCUGGACGCCUCCCGACUGACAAAAUUCUCCGUCUUUGUUUUAAAACCAAAGGACAGGCCAACCUUGAGCCCGGCCGUCACCCCUGUCGCGCUUUUGUUGGCGCAGGCUCGGCCCCCUACACCGGGCUGGUGCAGCUCCCGCGAUCAGACGGUCUCUCUCAAUUCGGCGUUGAACCCGGUUCUUCCCAAAUUCUGGUAUUGCUGGCCGCUUGGACACGUUCUCCCCUUAUCCCUCCCCCAGCGGGGAAAGAAAAAGCCAGGAUCCUUUCCUUGGCGCGGCCACCCGAGCCACUCCACCCGUCGCGCCAACCGCCUUUCCAGGUGGGGACCAAAGCCCCCACUCUCCGCUGGCAUCUCAUUGAAGGGCACCCCCCCGAGGGAUUGCCAGCUUCUGCUGCCAGCUGAGAGGCCGUGUGGCUGGGCGUCUUAAGCGCCGGUUUCCGCAGGUCCCGUGUCUGGCGGGCGCGGCUAAAACCCGGAGAGGCUGUGCCCGGGAAAGCCACGUUCGCCGUCCCCUCGCUGCGACAGGCCCAGCCGCGAUACAGCGCCAAGUCUAGGUCGGGCCAACCCAGCCAGGAGCUGCCCGGACCUGCCUGAAAGACCAGGGACGCGGCGCCAGCGCCCCACACCCCACCGAGACCAGGGCGCAAGGCGGGCAGAAUUCGGACUGAUGCGCCAGGCCCAGCCCCGAUGGAUUCCAGCUCCUCUCGGCCCCGCCUCCGGCCCUGGCCUCUUCCUCCAGCCGGGGUCGGGUCCUCCACUCCACUGUUUGGCUGGGAAAGGACCGAGACGCGCUCAGUGCACAGGGGGCCGGCUGCGGCCAUAAAUCUCCGGGCGGGCCCUCCUUCCCGCUGCUCACGCCGGGGUGCUCCGGGCCGGUCUCGUGUCCCGGGCCACGCCGCGCACCCUGCUCACCCCAUCACGGCCUGGGGACCCGGAGACUGCGCAGGGAACCACGCCAGGAGCUUCUCCGUUCACCAAAGAGAGGGAACGGCCUCGUUCCUCGGUGUCAACACCAUCCAUCUCUGAGGGCGCUGGACCCUGAGGUGGCCCGAGCUUCACAGGAUCACCGCCUUGGGGUAGGGGCGCCCGGGCCUGGCAUUUCCUCCUAGGAAGGCUCGGUGAGACUGGGAUGGGCAUGCGGCUCUCCGCUCGAGCCCAACUCCGGUGCCACCUGCACCACGGAGGGGUGACCCCAGGGUCAGGGUCAGAGCGGCUUCUCAGAAUUCAGCUUGCCACCUCUCCGCGGACCCUGCCUUCAUCUCGUGCCUCCUCAGAGCCCUCUGCGGGCGCAUGAAGGGCCUUUUUUUUUUUUUUUUUUUUUUUUUUUGGCACAGGUGGACCAACGGGGGGUGUGACUGUGGGCACCGUGCGCGGAGGCGGAGGCUCAUCUGGUUCCCACCCUCCGUGCCGCUGGAUGCCCCAGGAUUUUCUCCAACCGGGGUCCCGGCUUGGAGCCCUCCUUGGUGCGAGCUUUGGCUCAGCAAUGGGGAAAGCGGGAAUGGGUCUCGCCCUUGUGGCUGCCUGGUGGAAGCGGCGGUUUUGACACACGAAUAGUCGUGGGGAGCAGAUCCAGAGAGGGCGCAUUUGCAAUAAUAACGCUUAGUUUAUCUCUGCCAGAGGGGCGGGAACAGGCCUUCGCGCUGGUGUCUUACAUCAGCCAAGCAAACCAUGGGCGCGAUUGGAGCCAACCACCUCCAGCGGGGUUUUGCUCCAGACUUAAGGUGCACGGAAACCGGAGCAUUCAGCCCUUCAUGGAUGCCUCCCGAAAACCUCACCAUGCCAGUGACACGACUGCAAACGGCGGGUGGCACAUGCCGGGGGCUUGGGAUGGGAGGGUUUGGAAACCUCGCUCCAAGGACGCCCUCAGCCAAGGAGCUUCGGCUCCUUCCUAGAAUUUCUAGAAGCACUUUUGGAGGGACCGAGGGCUUCCGGCCGGGCCCAGAGGAAUUUGAGCGCUUGCCCGGGCAGGCAGAAGCGCAGCCUGGGAGUGGAGAGGCUGCUGGGCCACAUUCCGGCCCAGCUUCCCCCGCUAGGCCCCAGCCCUGCCGCGGCGCCCCAGGAAGCACCUCCGAAAACAAAGCGCUGUGGUUUCAGCCCAAGGUUAAAGUCCACCGCGAGCGUGUUUUUUCCCCCCUCCAGAAUCUAAGAGCGAUAGCGUUUCUCCAAAUAAACCGCCAAUAAAUCAGCUCCCGGGGGCGCCUGCUGAAGAGCUCUGGUGACCUUGGGGGAUGGUUUUUCUGCCUGACCCGUCUGAGCACAGGCUUUGGGGAGGAGGGGGCAGUGUCAGCCCUACCCCUCCAGAGAGACGCGGAAGAGGGAAUGGCCAAGGGCAUUCGUGGGUGAUUACAGCAGUACGUGUGUACCCAGAGGAGAUGGGAGAGGCUUGGAAUGGGGGAAAGGGGCGACUGUGGUUAUCCGGGGGCCUGUAGUGCGCGGUCAGGAGGCGUUUGUGAUUGCGAGGAGGGCUGCUUGCUGUCGGUUCAACGAUUGCUGGAGCGCCGGCGGUGUCGGCACAGGUCUAGGCAUGGGGAAAGCACCACUGGGGACAGACACGGCCGCUUUGGGGCCCCGAGUCUUUGUCUGCCUGGGACUGGAUGUGUUUGUGUCGGUGUGACUAAUGGGAUUUAUGGAUGUCAGUGCCAGGGUGACUGAUGAAGGGCUUGGCAGCACGUGUGUUUGGGGAGAGGCGCUGCACCUAGGUGGGGAGUGGGUGCCCCGGGAGAGGACUGUCCCUUCUCUUAGAGGUUCCUUCCCCCACCCCCUCCCUGCCGGCUCCCAGCUUUGUUUAGGCCUCUGAACCCCUCCGGGGCAGGCCUGUGCACGCCGAGUUCUGCAGCAAAUUCCACGGCCAGCCUGUCCCUCAGAGGCACCUCAGCACGCCCCACCUCUCCCAGCCCCACCUCCCCAGCACACGCCACGCGUCCCAAAUCCAGGCUGUCCCACCCCCUUCCCAGGCAGAGCCUUCCCAGUUUGCUCUUUUCCCAUCUGAACUCCUUAUGGUGUGCUCUGAGCCCUGCUUCAGGCAGGCUUUGACGACCGUAUGGUUUGGGUACCGGCAUACCCAUUUAACAGAUGAAAAAGUUGAGGUGCAGAAAGGAGAUGUGACAAGCCCACGCAGCCAGGAAGUAGCAGGCACCCUGAACUAAACCAGGCAGCUUGCUGGGGACCCCACUGUGGAGGCCCUUUGCCUCUGGGAGCCCCCAGCCUGGCUGAGACUCGCUUAGAGAAGGUAGAGGCAAAGGCCACUCCCAUGACACAGGACACAACCUGCCACCCUUGUACUGUGCGUUAUAACCAUCAGUCCUCCCUGCCACUCGGUAAGGGCUGUCUCCUUCCCUGACCUGGCAUGAGGAAGGAGGGGGGCAGUGAAGGUCAGAGGACUAGUAGGAGAGCCUGGUUUGGCCUGGGGCAGGGUGGGGUGCUGAGGUCAAGGUAACCCAGGGGUCACUUUGGAGAUCAGGAGAGCCGUGGCUGGAAAGCAGGAGCUCCUGUGUGAUUCCACAGAACCUAGCGCAGACUCAGGUUCAGGACAAACCUGGAGAAUCCAUAUCCCCUCUCCCUUGGGAUCAUCUUUUUUUUUUUUUUUUUUUGGAGAGACGGGGGUCUCACUAUGUUACCCAGGCUGGUCUUGAACUCCUGGCCUCAAGCAAUCCUCCCACCUCAGCCUCCCAAAGUGCUGGGAUUACAGGCCCAAACCACCAAGCUUGGCCUCCCUUGGGGUCUCUUCUUUUUUUCUUUUUGAGACAGGGACUCGUUCUGUCGCCCAGGCUGGAGCACAGCGGCACACCCGCAGCUCGCUGCAGCCUCAGCCUCUCGGGCUCAAAAAAUCCUUCUG